Molecule: non-coding RNA, 54 nt
Organism: Salmo salar (Atlantic salmon)
Lineage: Eukaryota; Metazoa; Chordata; Actinopteri; Salmoniformes; Salmonidae
Source: Rfam
UGCAUUCGCUACUGUAAGUCGCUCUGGAUAAGAGCGUCUGCUAAAUGACAAAUU